RNAcentral lists this ribosomal RNA (665 nucleotides) under uncultured beta proteobacterium. Its description in RNAcentral is "bacterial SSU rRNA". It matches the Rfam family "Bacterial small subunit ribosomal RNA", at positions 63 to 724 of the family's 1533-position model. Lineage: Bacteria; Pseudomonadati; Pseudomonadota; Betaproteobacteria. The record is from RNAcentral.
CGAACGGCAGCGCGGGAGCAAUCCUGGCGGCGAGUGGCGAACGGGUGAGUAAUACAUCGGAACGUGCCCAAUCGUGGGGGAUAACGCAGCGAAAGCUGUGCUAAUACCGCAUACGAUCUACGGAUGAAAGCAGGGGAUCGCAAGACCUUGCGCGAAUGGAGCGGCCGAUGGCAGAUUAGGUAGUUGGUGAGGUAAAGGCUCACCAAGCCUUCGAUCUGUAGCUGGUCUGAGAGGACGACCAGCCACACUGGGACUGAGACACGGCCCAGACUCCUACGGGAGGCAGCAGUGGGGAAUUUUGGACAAUGGGCGAAAGCCUGAUCCAGCCAUGCCGCGUGCAGGAUGAAGGCCUUCGGGUUGUAAACUGCUUUUGUACGGAACGAAACGGCCUUUUCUAAUAAAGAGGGCUAAUGACGGUACCGUAAGAAUAAGCACCGGCUAACUACGUGCCAGCAGCCGCGGUAAUACGUAGGGUGCAAGCGUUAAUCGGAAUUACUGGGCGUAAAGCGUGCGCAGGCGGUUAUGUAAGACAGUUGUGAAAUCCCCGGGCUCAACCUGGGAACUGCAUCUGUGACUGCAUAGCUGGAGUACGGUAGAGGGGGGUGGAAUUCCGCGUGUAGCAGUGAAAUGCGUAGAUAUGCGGAGGACACCGAUGGCGAAGGCAA